RNAcentral lists this ribosomal RNA (343 nucleotides) under uncultured rape rhizosphere bacterium wr0042. RNAcentral describes it as "bacterial SSU rRNA". It matches the Rfam family "Bacterial small subunit ribosomal RNA", at positions 27 to 396 of the family's 1533-position model. The record is from RNAcentral.
GAGCGAACGCUGGCGGCAGGCUUAACACAUGCAAGUCGAGCGGGCGUAGCAAUACGUCAGCGGCAGACGGGUGAGUAACGCGUGGGAACGUACCUUUUGGUUCGGAACAACACAGGGAAACUUGUGCUAAUACCGGAUAAGCCCUUACGGGGAAAGAUUUAUCGCCGAAAGAUCGGCCCGCGUCUGAUUAGCUAGUUGGUGAGGUAACGGCUCACCAAGGCGACGAUCAGUAGCUGGUCUGAGAGGAUGAUCAGCCACAUUGGGACUGAGACACGGCCCAAACUCCUACGGGAGGCAGCAGUGGGGAAUAUUGGACAAUGGGCGCAAGCCUGAUCCAGCCAUG